GUCCAGGAGCGGGAAUCGAACCCACAACCUUCUGCUUACCGGCCACUAGGCUAUCCUGGA
RNAcentral lists this transfer RNA (60 nucleotides) under Cordylochernes scorpioides. RNAcentral's name for it is "tRNA-OTHER". The record is from RNAcentral. Lineage: Eukaryota; Metazoa; Arthropoda; Arachnida; Pseudoscorpiones; Chernetidae.